GGGUUUUUGAUGUUUCAAGCCAUGUUUUCUGAAAUUGAUCAUUAGGUUAUGUCUCUAUAUUGUUAUAUUAAUGAUCCUUGUUAGUUAAUUUGAUCAAUUUUAUGGUUUUUGAAAAAUUGGAAAUUCUAGGGUUUGAAAUUGAUCCGAAUUGGGGAUUUUGUCAAAUUGGGUUAAAUUGAUGAAAUUGGCUUGUUCAAUUGAUGUAUUCGGUCAGUUUGGGUUUUGUGAUCAAUUGGUUAGAGAAACUGUGAAAGGGCUCCUGAAAGUGGGUUUUGAUUUAUUUGUUUUUUGUUUUUGCUAAAGCAAGGACAUUCAUGGGAUCCAGCCCAUCUUUUUGCCAUAAAUAAGGUGUAUUUUACGUCAGGCUUUUGGAAAUGAUGGGUGGUACUUCUUUGAAAGUGAUUCGCUCAAGGUUCUAGUUGACGCCCUUCUUGAAAAAGAAAAAAAAUGGUGAGCAAGGGGAGGAUCGAGUGCUCCGGAUUUUGCUGUACAGUUGUCACCAAAGAAAGGUCUCCGUGCAGCACUGUUGAAGAGCCGCUUUGCAGGAACUAUUCUGAAAGGCCAACAUAAGACACUUCUUGACCAUAGACGGCUAGGAUUGAAGCCCAAAUUAGAGACGCUGAAGCUGCCUUACGAAGGAAGGAAGAGGCUGAGUGUAAGCAGCAGCGGGAGAGAGAAAGGGAAGCUGCUCGAGUUGCCUUGCAGAAGAUGGAAAAAACUGUUGAUUUUGAGGAGAAUAUGGUGACCCAAAAAGAACUUGAGAUGUUAUUUGGCUGUUCAACAUCAUCUCUCUGCUCCAUGGAUCUUUAAGUCGAACCCAAUUAGAACAGUUAGGGUUAUUUAUCAAAGACGACGAUGACAAUGAAGAGGGACUUGAUUUUGAUGGGGAAGAAGGGGAAAUUUUUUCGUGACAUCCGACUCCUCUAUCUAUUCAACAAUUGUAUAUAGUUCCUUUUUCCAGCUCUGCUUGUUUAUAUCAUCAUAGUGGAUGGAAAAGGGGCAUUGGUUGUAAAUGACUAUUUUUUUAAGGGGUGAUACCCUCCUGAUAGGGAACUAAUAGAAAGUUAGUGUUUCCAAAGUAUAUAAAUUGCAGUUUUAAACAUUUCAUCUUUAUAA
Molecule: long non-coding RNA, 1116 nt
Organism: Quercus robur (English oak)
Lineage: Eukaryota; Viridiplantae; Streptophyta; Magnoliopsida; Fagales; Fagaceae
Exons: 4
Source: RefSeq, a predicted model, not a curated record